RNAcentral lists this ribosomal RNA (1912 nucleotides) under seawater metagenome. RNAcentral describes it as "bacterial LSU rRNA". It matches the Rfam family "Bacterial large subunit ribosomal RNA", at positions 1 to 1976 of the family's 2925-position model. The record is from RNAcentral.
UCAAGCGCGAGAAGGGCGUUUGGUGGAUGCCUUGGCAGUAAGAGGCGAUGAAGGACGUGAUACUCUGCGAUAAGUCAUGGGGAGCUGAGAAUAAGCUUUGAACCAUGAAUUUCCGAAUGGGGCAACCCACCUGAUAUUCUACUAUUGUUGCACUUCGGUGCAUUCAAUAGUCGGGUAAACCAGGUAUUUAUAACUUGAAUACAUAGGGUUAUAAAAGCAAACCCGGGGAACUGAAACAUCUAAGUACCCGGAGGAAAGGACAUCAAUUAGAUACUCCCCUAGUAGCGGCGAGCGAACGGGGAUCAGCCGAACCAUAAAUGUGACUAGAAUAUGUUGGAAAGCAUAACCAGAGUGGGUGACAGUCCCGUAUAGGAAGCAUGAUUGGACGUAUUAAGUAGGGCGGGACACGUGAAAUCCUGUUCGAAGAUCGGAGGACCACCUCCGAAGGCUAAGUACUCCUUACUGACCGAUAGUGAACCAGUACCGUGAGGGAAAGGUGAAAAGCACCCCGACGAGGGGAGUGAAACAGUUUCUGAAACCGGACGCCUACAAUCAGUCGGAGGCCCCUUGAGGGCUGACGGCGUACCUUUUGUAUAAUGGGUCAUCGACUUAGUGUAUCUAGCAAGCUUAAGCCGUUAGGUGUAGGCGCAGCGAAAGCGAGUCUUAAUAGGGCGAAUGAGUUAGAUGGAUCAGACCCGAAACCGAGUGAUCUAGGCAUGACCAGGUUGAAGGUAAGGUAACACUUACUGGAGGACCGAACCCACAUCUGUUGAAAAAGAUCGGGAUGACUUGUGCCUAGGGGUGAAAGGCCAAUCAAACUCGGAGAUAGCUGGUUCUCCGCGAAAUCUAUUUAGGUAGAGCGUCAUCCGAAUACCCCGGGGGGUAGAGCACUGGAUGGGUAAUGGGGCCCCACAGGCUUACUGAUCCUAACCAAACUCCGAAUACCCGGGAGUAAUAGAUGGCAGACACACUGCGGGUGCUAACGCCCGUAGUGAAAAGGGAAACAACCCUGACCGACAGUUAAGGCCCCUAAUUCAUGGCUAAGUGGGAAAGCAGGUGGGACGACCAAAACAACCAGGAAGUUGGCUUAGAAGCAGCCAUCUUUUAAAGAUAGCGUAACAGCUCACUGGUCUAAAUAAGUUGUCCUGCGGCGAAGAUGUAACGGGGCUCAAGCCAUGAGCCGAAGCUUAGGAUGCAUUUAAUGCAUGGUAGCGGAGCGUAGUGUGACAUAGCACCGUUCCUCUUUUGCGGUUUGGUAUGAGCAAUCAUACCCUGCGUAAUGGAGGAUAUGGUGUUUUCUGUGAAGCCGGGCUGUAAGGCAUCCGGUGGAGAGAUCACUAGUGAGAAUGAUGACAUGAGUAACGACAAAGGGGGUGAGAGACCCCCUCGCCGAAAAUCCAAGGGUUCCUGCUUAAAGCUAAUCUGAGCAGGGUGAGCCGACCCCUAAGUCGAGGCCGAAAGGCGUAGACGAUGGGAACCAGGUUAAUAUUCCUGGGCCAGGAGGAAGUGACGGAUCAUGAAGAUUGUUGGAUCAGGCGUAGUUGCCCCAGCAGUUAAUUGGUUCCUGGAAAUAGCCCUCCAUCAGACCGUACCCUAAACCGACACAGGUGGAUAGGUAGAGUAUACCAAGGCGCUUGAGAGAACUAUGUUGAAGGAACUCGGCAAAAUACCUCCGUAAGUUCGCGAGAAGGAGGCCCGGUUUCUAGGCAACUGGAAGCUGGGGGCACAAACCAGGGGGUGGCGACUGUUUACUAAAAACACAGGGCUCUGCGAAGUCGCAAGACGACGUAUAGGGUCUGACGCCUGCCCGGUGCCUGAAGGUUAAAAGGAGGGGUGAGAGCUCCGAAUUGAAGCCCAGGUAAACGGCGGCCGUAACUAUAACGGUCCUAAGGUAGCGAAAUUCCUUGUCGGG